ACAUUUUUUGCUCUGAAUUGUAAUGACUUUGCUACAUCAAUAAAUCAUGUUGUAUUCUGACUUUUAUCAAAGAUUCUGAGGAAGAAAACUACACGUGGAGGCUUGAAGAUACAAGGGCAGCCCUGACUGUUUUUUUCUCCAACCAGCUACUUUACUCAUGGCCCUUUGAAAGCAGCGAUUCCUGUGAAUCAGCAGUUAAAAUGGAUUUGCUGACAGAGCCCCAAAGAUGCCAGAGAUCAUCCUCAUCUCGCCGUGCGCUCUCUCCACAGAUGGCUGGGGCUCAUGGAGCCAUCACUGCCCCUCCAAUGCAGCCUGCACUUCAAGGGGCUUCACUCCAAGUGCCGCAGGCCUCCAGGCUGAGACACAGAACUGACACAACGUGUGGCCUCUUCACAUCUGCCUUGAGGAGCUUGCCCCUGGAGAAACUGCACAUGACCUCUGCAGACAUUGUUCAGUGCUGUGAAACUUUAUGGUUUCAUUCUAUUCAAUGAAAUAUAUGUGCAAUUUAUGACAAAUGCUGACUCUUGAUUUGCACUGCUAAAAAUAAAGUGAAAUAAAUCUGUGGCUAUUUUUGAUGC
RNAcentral lists this long non-coding RNA (578 nucleotides) under Numida meleagris (helmeted guineafowl). Its description in RNAcentral is "lncRNA (ENSNMEG00000007802.1)". The record is from RNAcentral. Lineage: Eukaryota; Metazoa; Chordata; Aves; Galliformes; Numididae.